GGACCACACAGUAAUAAAAUGACAUACAAUAUCACAAAUUGUAAAAUAAUACUCAGGAUUUAUUAUUUGACAAUUUGAGAUAUUGUAUGUCAUUUUAUUACUGUGCGGUCC
Pelobates cultripes (western spadefoot toad) is the source of this 111-nucleotide non-coding RNA. NCBI's taxonomy places the organism in Eukaryota, Metazoa, Chordata, Amphibia, Anura, Pelobatidae. The record is from the annotation of a GenBank genome assembly.